This 253-nucleotide ribosomal RNA is filed under the name uncultured bacterium. Its description in RNAcentral is "partial 16S ribosomal RNA". It matches the Rfam family "Bacterial small subunit ribosomal RNA", at positions 524 to 776 of the family's 1533-position model. The record is from RNAcentral. RNAcentral also lists the same sequence under 1 other name.
UACGGAAGGGGCUAGCGUUGUUCGGAAUUACUGGGCGUAAAGCGCGCGUAGGCGGCUUGGCGAGUGAGGCGUGAAAGUCCUGGGCUCAACCUGGGGACGGCGUUUCAGACUGCCUGGCUUGAGUCCGGAAGAGGGUGGUGGAAUUCCGAGUGUAGAGGUGAAAUUCGUAGAUAUUCGGAGGAACACCGGUGGCGAAGGCGGCCACCUGGUCCGGAACUGACGCUGAAGUGCGAAAGCGUGGGGAGCAAACAGG